Molecule: transfer RNA, 69 nt
Filed under: Rattus norvegicus (Norway rat)
Lineage: Eukaryota; Metazoa; Chordata; Mammalia; Rodentia; Muridae
Rfam family: tRNA
About the family: Transfer RNA (tRNA) molecules are approximately 80 nucleotides in length. Their secondary structure includes four short double-helical elements and three loops (D, anti-codon, and T loops).
Source: Rfam by way of RNAcentral
GGGGAUUUAGCUUAGCGGUAAAGCGCUUGCCUAGCAAGCGCAAGGCCCUGGGUUCGGUCCCCAGCUCCG